Molecule: transfer RNA, 108 nt
Filed under: Annulohypoxylon nitens
Lineage: Eukaryota; Fungi; Ascomycota; Sordariomycetes; Xylariales; Hypoxylaceae
Description: tRNA-Ser
Rfam family: tRNA
About the family: Transfer RNA (tRNA) molecules are approximately 80 nucleotides in length. Their secondary structure includes four short double-helical elements and three loops (D, anti-codon, and T loops). Further hydrogen bonds mediate the characteristic L-shaped molecular structure. tRNAs have two regions of fundamental functional importance: the anti-codon, which is responsible for specific mRNA codon recognition, and the 3' end, to which the tRNAs corresponding amino acid is attached (by aminoacyl-tRNA synthetases). tRNAs cope with the degeneracy of the genetic code in two manners: having more than one tRNA (with a specific anti-codon) for a particular amino acid; and 'wobble' base-pairing, i.e. permitting non-standard base-pairing at the 3rd anti-codon position.
Source: RNAcentral
GGCACUUUGGCGGAGUGGUUAACGCGAUGCCCUGCUAUAGUUCAAGAAUACUUGAAAAUAGUGUAGGCAUUCCCUUCGGGGGCGUGUGUUCGAAUCACACAGGUGUCG